UGGGGAAUAUUGCGCAAUGGGGGAAACCCUGACGCAGCAACGCCGCGUGAAGGAUGAAGGCUCUUGGGUUGUAAACUUCUUUGAUUAGGGACGAAUAAUGACGGUACCUAAAAAACAAGCCACGGCUAACUACGUGCCAGCAGCCGCGGUAAUACGUAGGUGGCGAGCGUUGUCCGGAAUUACUGGGUGUAAAGGGCGUGUAGGCGGGGAUGCAAGUCGGAUGUGAAAUUCCAGAGCUUAACUCUGGCGCUGCAACCGAAACUGUGUCUCUUGAGUACUGGAGAGGAAAGUGGAAUUCCUAGUGUAGCGGUGAAAUGCGUAGAUAUUAGGAGGAACACCAGUGGCGAAGGCGGCUUUCUGGACAGAAACUGACGCUGAGGCGCGAAAGCGUGGGGAGCAAACA
Molecule: ribosomal RNA, 403 nt
Rfam family: Bacterial small subunit ribosomal RNA